AUGAGGAACUAGCAACAGAGACUAAGAAGGAAAAGCCAAGGCAUAUCCAUUGGACUGCAGAUGGGCUGACCCCUGCGAUUUCCCCAAAUGUGGAAACCCGACUGCAUAAUUUGUAGUAGNNNNNN
Molecule: small nuclear RNA, 125 nt
Filed under: Propithecus coquereli (Coquerel's sifaka)
Lineage: Eukaryota; Metazoa; Chordata; Mammalia; Primates; Indriidae
Description: U1 spliceosomal RNA (ENSPCOG00000010177.1)
Source: RNAcentral